Molecule: ribosomal RNA, 241 nt
Filed under: uncultured bacterium
Lineage: Bacteria
Description: partial 16S ribosomal RNA
Rfam family: Bacterial small subunit ribosomal RNA
Source: RNAcentral
CGACGUGGGCAACCUGCCUUAUACAGGGGGAUAACAGCUGGAAACAGCUGCUAAUACCGCAUAAGCGCACAGCGGCGCAUGACGCAGUGUGAAAAACUGAGGUGGUAUAAGAUGGGCCCGCGUCUGAUUAGCUGGUUGGGAGGGUAACGGCCUACCAAGGCGACGAUCAGUAGCCGGCCUGAGAGGGCGGACGGCCACAUUGGGACUGAGACACGGCCCAGACUCCUACGGAAGGCAGCAG